AUUUGACGUUACCUACAGAAGAAGACACCGGCUAACUACCGUGCCAGCAGCCGCGGUAAUACGGAGGGUGCGAGCGUUAAUCGGAAUUACUGGGCGUAAAGACGCAUGCAGGCGGCCUGUUAAGUCAGAUGUGAAAGACCCGGGGCGUUAACCUCGGAAUUGCAUUUGUAAACUAGGCAGGCUAGAGGUCUUGUAGAGGGGGGUAGGAAUUUCAGGUGUAGCGGUGAAAUGCGUAGAGAUCUGAAGGAAUACCAGUGGCGAAGGCGGCCCCCUGGACAAAGACUGACGCUCAGAUGCGAAAGCGUGGGGAGCAAACAGGAUUAGAUACCCUGGUAG
RNAcentral lists this ribosomal RNA (336 nucleotides) under uncultured bacterium. RNAcentral's name for it is "bacterial SSU rRNA". It matches the Rfam family "Bacterial small subunit ribosomal RNA", at positions 467 to 793 of the family's 1533-position model. The record is from RNAcentral.